RNAcentral lists this ribosomal RNA (253 nucleotides) under uncultured bacterium. RNAcentral describes it as "partial 16S ribosomal RNA". It matches the Rfam family "Bacterial small subunit ribosomal RNA", at positions 524 to 776 of the family's 1533-position model. The record is from RNAcentral.
UACGUAGGGUGCGAGCGUUGUCCGGAAUUAUUGGGCGUAAAGAGCUUGUAGGCGGUCUGUCGCGUCUGCUGUGAAAAUCCGGGGCUCAACCCCGGACUUGCAGUGGGUACGGGCAGACUAGAGUGUGGUAGGGGAGGCUGGAAUUCCUGGUGUAGCGGUGAAAUGCGCAGAUAUCAGGAGGAACACCGAUGGCGAAGGCAGGUCUCUGGGCCACUACUGACGCUGAGAAGCGAAAGCAUGGGGAGCGAACAGG